RNAcentral lists this long non-coding RNA (997 nucleotides) under Rattus norvegicus (Norway rat). Its description in RNAcentral is "long non-coding RNA NONRATT032329". Lineage: Eukaryota; Metazoa; Chordata; Mammalia; Rodentia; Muridae. The record is from RNAcentral.
ACAGGAAGUAGCAGAAUCAGGAAGUGAUUCUCCAUCGCCUCACACUGUCGAAAACCCAGAAAGCAGAGGAAAUGAGGCUCUUUCUGCAUCUGUUCCAUAAAGCUGAAGAUAUGCGGCAUCCUGGCUGGAACAGUGAGGGAAUGAAGAAAGAACAGGCGCAUGUGCAGAGAAGCUGGGGUCACGUGGGCCACAGGCACUCUGAUGGAGUCGCACCAACAGGCAACAGCCGUCUGGAACCACGGCGUGGGGGAGAGGUCUCUGGGGGUAAGCGGUCUCAGGCUGAAAGAGCUGGGCCAGGAAGCUGCAGGUGCCAGUUUUGCAAAUACUAGAUAACAGUUCACCAGUGCUCGUACUUGUCAAGGCAGAAGAGACCAUGGAAGGGUGCUGCUUACUGACUUACUCUUCAUGACUGGUUCAGCCUGCUUAUAGAACCGAGGACCAGCAGCCAGGGGUGUUUCCACCCACAAUGGGCUGGGCUCUACCCUGCCAGUCACGAAUUGAGAAAAUGCCUUACAGCUGGAUCUUAUGGAGGCAUUGUCUCAACAACGUGGGUUCCCCCUCCUUUCAAGUAACUCCAGUUUGUGUCCGGCUGACCUAGGAUGAGCCAGCACAGCGUUAAACAAUGGGAGUUUAAUUUUCAACAGCAAGGAAGGGCUAUGGAUAGAACCUAUGACUCUAAGUGCUAUUCUAACAGAGAAAAACAGCAACUCAACCCCUGCUACGACCUCGUCCCUCCUAAACGCCGCAAAUGCUUCCACGUAAAAUAACGAACUUCAUUCAAAUAAUAACAAAAGUAAACCAACGACCUAGCUCCUGAUGGAUAGGCAAGUUCCAAUGUAAUAACACAAAGUAACAGCAAACCAAGACAUGUCCCCUCCAAACCCUACCCAUCCAGAGUAAUGUUCUACAACGAGAGCGACCUAGAUGGAAUAAGAAUCUAAAAAGCGUGACGAUAAAUCCACUCACAAGAGAUGAAAGACGGCGUAAACAAACAAAG